UACGGAGGGUGCAAGCGUUGUCCGGAAUCACUGGGCGUAAAGGGCGCGUAGGCGGCCUGGUAAGUAGGGGGGUGAAAUCCUGCGGCUUAACCGCAGGGGCUGCCUUCUAAACUGUCAGGCCUGAGCACGGUAGAGGCAGAUGGAAUUCCCGGUGUAGCGGUGGAAUGCGUAGAGAUCGGGAAGAACAUCAGUGGCGAAGGCGGUCUGCUGGGCCGAAACUGACGCUGAGGAGCGAAAGCGUGGGGGAGCAAACAGG
This 256-nucleotide ribosomal RNA is filed under the name uncultured bacterium. RNAcentral describes it as "partial 16S ribosomal RNA". It matches the Rfam family "Bacterial small subunit ribosomal RNA", at positions 524 to 776 of the family's 1533-position model. The record is from RNAcentral.